GACCCCGUAGCUCAGCAGGAUAGAGCGGCAGAUUCCUAAUCUGUAGGCCGGACGUUCGAAUCGUCUCGGGGUCACCA
RNAcentral lists this transfer RNA (77 nucleotides) under Alphaproteobacteria bacterium. Its description in RNAcentral is "tRNA-Arg". It matches the Rfam family "tRNA". From Rfam's summary of the family: Transfer RNA (tRNA) molecules are approximately 80 nucleotides in length. Their secondary structure includes four short double-helical elements and three loops (D, anti-codon, and T loops). The record is from RNAcentral. Lineage: Bacteria; Pseudomonadati; Pseudomonadota; Alphaproteobacteria.